UGUGUGUAUGUGUUAUGGAAUGUGUCUAAUGUAUUUUAUCAAAUAAAUCUGCAGUCUGUUUUAUCUAAUAUAUAUCUGCUCUCCUUUCUUUCCACAGGUAUUUAAUUCUUCUUACUGUUCUACUCUCAGAUGUUCCUGAAUGUAUCUCCAAACUAUUGUUUAGAAAUGGAGGGAAAAAAAUAGAAUAUGGGACAGAAGAGAGAGCCAGGCAGUCUCCUUGCACAGAACAAGGUUCAUAUCUCCCAAUGAGAGUUACAGAGCUGAAAAGUGAUAGAUAGUACCUGACUGUGCCAGCCUAUGCCCCCA
RNAcentral lists this long non-coding RNA (306 nucleotides) under Numida meleagris (helmeted guineafowl). Its description in RNAcentral is "lncRNA (ENSNMEG00000015741.1)". Lineage: Eukaryota; Metazoa; Chordata; Aves; Galliformes; Numididae. The record is from RNAcentral.